Molecule: ribosomal RNA, 371 nt
Filed under: uncultured bacterium
Lineage: Bacteria
Description: bacterial SSU rRNA
Rfam family: Bacterial small subunit ribosomal RNA
Source: RNAcentral
UAAUACGGAGGAUCCAAGCGUUAUCCGGAAUCAUUGGGUUUAAAGGGUCCGUAGGCGGUUUAGUAAGUCAGUGGUGAAAGCCCAUCGCUCAACGGUGGAACGGCCAUUGAUACUGCUGAACUUGAAUUAUUAGGAAGUAACUAGAAUAUGUAGUGUAGCGGUGAAAUGCUUAGAGAUUACAUGGAAUACCAAUUGCGAAGGCAGGUUACUACUAAUGGAUUGACGCUGAUGGACGAAAGCGUGGGUAGCGAACAGGAUUAGAUACCCUGGUAGUCCACGCCGUAAACGAUGGAUACUAGCUGUUGGAAGCAAUUUCAGUGGCUAAGCGAAAGUGAUAAGUAUCCCACCUGGGGAGUACGUUCGCAAGAAUG